Molecule: ribosomal RNA, 374 nt
Filed under: uncultured bacterium
Lineage: Bacteria
Description: bacterial SSU rRNA
Rfam family: Bacterial small subunit ribosomal RNA
Source: RNAcentral
GAUGAACGCUAGCGGCAGGCUUAAUACAUGCAAGUCGAGGGGCAGCAGGGGUAGCAAUACUCGCUGGCGACCGGCAAACGGGUGCGGAACACGUACAGAACCUUCCUUUAAGUGGGGCAUAGCCCAGAGAAAUUUGGAUUAAUACCCCAUAAAAUAUUUGAUAAGGCAUCUUAUUAAUAUUAAAGCUUCGGCACUUGAUGAUGGGUGUGCGGCUGAUUAGAUAGNGGCGGGGUAACGGCCCACCAAGUCUACGAUCAGUAGCUGAUGUGAGAGCAUGAUCAGCCACACGGGCACUGAGACACGGGCCCGACUCCUACGGGAGGCAGCAGUAAGGAAUAUUGGACAAUGGGCGAAAGCCUGAUCCAGCCAUGCCG